RNAcentral lists this ribosomal RNA (569 nucleotides) under Dendropsophus juliani. Its description in RNAcentral is "partial 16S ribosomal RNA". It matches the Rfam family "Bacterial large subunit ribosomal RNA", at positions 1845 to 2614 of the family's 2925-position model. Lineage: Eukaryota; Metazoa; Chordata; Amphibia; Anura; Hylidae. The record is from RNAcentral.
AUAAGAGGUCCAGCCUGCCCAGUGACUAAGUUCAACGGCCGCGGUAUCCUAACCGUGCGAAGGUAGCGUAAUCACUUGUUCUUUAAAUGAGGACUAGUAUGAAUGGCAUCACGAGGGUUAUACUGUCUCCUUUUUUUAAUCAAUGAAACUGAUCUCCCCGUGAAGAAGCGGGAAUAAAAAUAUAAGACGAGAAGACCCUAUGGAGCUUUAAACAAUUAUAGCACUGGCCCACACUUCUUACUCUUCUGAGACAUAACUAUUAUAUAGGCCAACAUGACUAUUAGUUUUAGGUUGGGGUGACCGCGGAGCAAAAACUAACCUCCACAUUGAACGGAACUACUCCUGAGCUAUGAGCUACAACUCUGAGCACCAAUAAACUGACAUCAAUUGACCCAACAUGUUGAGCAACGAACCAAGUUACCCUAGGGAUAACAGCGCAAUCCAUUUCAAGAGCCCCUAUCGACAAAUGGGUUUACGACCUCGAUGUUGGAUCAGGGUAUCCCAGUGGUGCAGCCGCUACUAAAGGUUCGUUUGUUCAACGAUUAAAACCCUACGUGAUCUGAGUUCAG